UCCGGCUUAUCACCGGCAGUCCCCCUAGAGUGCCCAACUAAAUGAUGGCAACUAAGGGCGAGGGUUGCGCUCGUUGCGGGACUUAACCCAACAUCUCACGACACGAGCUGACGACAGCCAUGCAGCACCUGAACCUAGGUUCCCUUGCGGGCACUCCCUCGUCUCUGAAGGAUUCCUAGUUUUUCUAGCCCGGGUAAGGUUCUGCGCGUUGCGUCGAAUUAAACCACAUGCUCCACCGCUUGUGCGGGUCCCCGUCAAUUCCUUUGAGUUUUAAUCUUGCGACCGUACUCCCCAGGCGGAAUGCUUAAUGCGUUAGCUGCGCCACCGAAGAGCAUGCUCUCCAACGGCUGGCAUUCAUCGUCUACGGCGUGGACUAC
This 377-nucleotide unclassified non-coding RNA is filed under the name uncultured Alphaproteobacteria bacterium. RNAcentral's name for it is "contains 16S-23S intergenic spacer region". The record is from RNAcentral. Lineage: Bacteria; Pseudomonadati; Pseudomonadota; Alphaproteobacteria.